This 85-nucleotide transfer RNA is filed under the name Bacillus phage vB_BanS-Thrax4. It matches the Rfam family "tRNA". Rfam says of the family: Transfer RNA (tRNA) molecules are approximately 80 nucleotides in length. The record is from Rfam by way of RNAcentral. Lineage: Duplodnaviria; Heunggongvirae; Uroviricota; Caudoviricetes.
GGAGAGGUAUGCAAACGGUUAUAAGCAAGCGGUUUUGAAAGCCGAUGAGCCGAAAGGUCUGGGGGUUCGAAUCCCUCCCUCUCCG